Long non-coding RNA from Monodelphis domestica (gray short-tailed opossum), 793 nucleotides. RefSeq lists it as uncharacterized. NCBI's taxonomy places the organism in Eukaryota, Metazoa, Chordata, Mammalia, Didelphimorphia, Didelphidae. The record is from RefSeq and is a predicted model, not a curated record.
UUAGAAUCCUCAGUACUCUUGGAGGCUCAGUUCACAUUCCCUGGCCCUCUCUCUGGCUGUUAGAGCUCCACCCCUCUCCCCAAAUUACUCUUUAUUCAUUUCACAUAUCAUUUAUAUUUGUUACCUGUGUAUAUGUUUUUUUUUUCUUCCCUAAAAGCUCAUCAAGCUCAGGGAUUGUUUUCCUUUUGAGAAGUUGCAUCUCCAGGGCUUAUCCUAGGGCCUGAUAGGGAGUAGGUAACUGCUGAAAGCACGUCCCCCCAAAAGGAGACAGAAUAAGUUUUCAGCCAAUGAGAACAUUUACUGAACAAGCACAAUCCUGCCCCAUUCCAUUGCUGAGGUGAGAGUCCACAAAUAUGGAACAUUGCAGUGUGAAUGUUUCACAGGAGGAAAAAUCUGGCAGGUAAAGGUCCUCACCAUCAUCUGAACACUCGAACUGGACUUCCUUUUCUGAAUUGACCAGUCAAGGAGAGAGGAAGAGAAGAAAACGUGACCGGUUGAAUUUAAAGUUUCAAAGCAUGGAGAACAAAAAUAGCUUUGUCUUCAGCAAGAAGUUCUAUACUGCAUGGGGUGGGGGAGUUUGGUGGGGAAUGCGCUGGAAGGUGUUCAUUCUACAUAAGUUUCAUAGUCAAGUUAAGACCUCCCAGUAGUUACACGAGUCUUGCUGCUUCGCAAAAUUACACAGAAAUACUGCAAAGGACAACUAAAACCAUUGUUAGACUUUAAAGAGCUUAGGUCAUGUUAGAAAAUUCAGAUGGUAAGUGUCAUUAUUAAAAUAUACAUGGAAAACAUGAGA